Taeniopygia guttata (zebra finch) is the source of this 1760-nucleotide non-coding RNA. The record is from RefSeq and is a predicted model, not a curated record. NCBI's taxonomy places the organism in Eukaryota, Metazoa, Chordata, Aves, Passeriformes, Estrildidae.
CUCCUGCCUCCGGAGCGGCACCUCCGCAAUCGCCGGUUCCGUGGCCGGGGAACAGACGGGGGGCUCUACCCAAGGAGCCGCAGCGCAUCCCCGUUCUCCCAUCGUUUCCCGUCGGAAGCGCAGGCUUGGACACGUGCGGAAGUUGCGCACUGUGCGAGGCUGGAGACCCCAGAGCGAAGAUGCUGCUGCACCCACCACCUCAGCUCACCCCCGAGUCCCCGGCAUGUCUGGCACGCAAAGGCUGGCCUCAGGUUUCCUGAAAGGCUUGUGAUUUUCUGCCCCGAGUUGCCAUCCAAAUGAAGAUGCUGCCUGGAAAAAGGCUGAGCAAGGUUUUGUGUCCACCUCAGCCCUCCCCAGGAGUGAGCUCUGCCCCUGCCUGAGCUCAGCCAGUUAAGCAUCCAGCUUCUCUGCACAACACUGCAGACCCUGGAAGUGGCAGCUCCUGCUGUGUCACCCAGGCUGUUAAAGGAUCACAGCAGGCCUAAGGCACCUGGAGAGUCAAAUGGCCCUUCAUUCCCACACAGUUUAUUCAGCAAGUCCCAACAAGGAGGAUGUUAUCUUCCAAAAGCAUGGAGAAGACCUUGGAGCUGUGCUUAGUCCAGAGAACCACUUCAGAAGAUAAAACCCCAAAAGAAAUAAGAGACAAAACACACUUAAGUCAAAACCAGUAGUUUUACCUGUUUAGACUGUAGCACCCACUGCAGCACAACCCUGGCAUCAGGCUAAACAGAAGUAGCAUCCAGCAAAGCAAGCCAAGGUCUCCAGGUGCUUGAAAUUAUACAAGUGCUUAAGAAUGUAAUUGAGAAAAGCACAUAAGGAACACAAGUGGUGUCAGCCUGAGCAUAAUGAAUAUGUAAUAAAUCAUACAGGAGAAUUCUUUUUUAUUAUGUUUCAAAAGAAGUCUGUGCUCUUAUUUGCAAGCAGCUCCAGUCCUGGUAAUGGAUGUGAUCCCCUGCAUGCAGGCUUUAUUGGAGAAGAUGUUGCAUUGACUCCACUGAAGUUAUGCUCGCAGAAAAUGUGGUUCCCUGAAAAUUAGCUGUUCCCCAAAAGCUAAAGCAUUUGCUGUGUCUAAGUAUAUAUUUUCAUAUAAGAGUAGCAGGCCACCCCACUAUUAAAAGUGUUUAAGACAGCCUCAGCUUUGCAGUGAGCAUCCAGCUAGAGCAAAACAGGCAGCCAGCCCAGUGGAGCACUGGGAGAAAAAUGGCAAGGACACAGCAUCAAAGGGCAGCACUGCCCAAAAACCAUACCAGAAGGAAGUGCAGUCCAUUCCUGCCAUCCAUGAGGGUGAGACCUCAGAUAUUUUGCAGAGCUUGCUCACAGGAAAUGGUCCAGCUGAAAAAAGCAGGGGAAUGUCUAGUAGCAGCUUCUUACCCUGAAAACACAUCUGCAGCUAAUUGGCAUGGCACAUUUUUAAAAGCACCAAAGCAGGGCUUAGGAGCUUUACCCGUCCCCAAACAAGUGUAAACUUAUAAGCAUUAAAUCACUUUAAAAAUUCCCUCUGGGAAUUAAAAGUCACUUUUGUGACUCAUAACAUGAGGCUGCUGUUUCUGAACUUUUUUAAUGGCAACUCCAGGAUAAGGGAGAGCAGAGGGAGACAAGCCUUUCCUUGCAUGGGAGGGUUCUUGUCCACUAUGGGGAGUUCCCUCACCAGGAGAUGAUUCUGCCCUGACCAGCUAAUCCUGGGGAUCCAAUGGCUCCUGGAAACAGCCCCAGCCCAGCAGGAGACAGCUGUAGAUGGCAGGCAGCUAAUCUGAAGCAGU